UUAAGUUAUUAAGGGCGCACGGUGGAUGCCUUGGCACUAGAAGCCGAUGAAGGACGUUACUAACGACGAUAUGCUUUGGGGAGCUGUAAGUAAGCUUUGAUCCAGAGAUUUCCGAAUGGGGGAAAACCCCAGCAUGAGUUAUGUCAUGUUAUCGAUAUGUGAAUACAUAGCAUAUCAGAAGGCACACCCGGAGAACUGAAACAUCUUAGUACCCGGAGGAAGAAAAAGAAAAUUCGAUUCCCUUAGUAGCGGCGAGCGAAACGGGAAGACGCCCAAACCAACAAGCUUGCUUGUUGGGGUUGUAGGACACUCUAUACGGAGUUACAAAGGACGACAUUAGACGAAUCAUCUGGAAAGAUGAAUCAAAGAAGGUAAUAAUCCUGUAGUCGAAAAUGUUGUCUCUCUUGAGUGGAUCCUGAGUACGACGGAACACGUGAAAUUCCGUCGGAAUCUGGGAGGACCAUCUCCUAAGGCUAAAUACUCUCUAGUGACCGAUAGUGAACCAGUACCGUGAGGGAAAGGUGAAAAGCACCCCGGAAGGGGAGUGAAAUAGAACCUGAAACCGUGUGCUUACAAGUAGUCAGAGCCCGUUAAUGGGUGAUGGCGUGCCUUUUGUAGAAUGAACCGGCGAGUUACGAUUUGAUGCAAGGUUAAGCAGUAAAUGUGGAGCCGUAGCGAAAGCGAGUCUGAAUAGGGCGUUUAGUAUUUGGUCGUAGACCCGAAACCAGGUGAUCUACCCUUGGUCAGGUUGAAGUUCAGGUAACACUGAAUGGAGGACCGAACCGACUUACGUUGAAAAGUGAGCGGAUGAACUGAGGGUAGCGGAGAAAUUCCAAUCGAACCUGGAGAUAGCUGGUUCUCUCCGAAAUAGCUUUAGGGCUAGCCUCAAGUGAUGAUUAUUGGAGGUAGAGCACUGUUUGGACGAGGGGCCCCUCUCGGGUUACCGAAUUCAGACAAACUCCGAAUGCCAAUUAAUUUAACUUGGGAGUCAGAACAUGGGUGAUAAGGUCCGUGUUCGAAAGGGAAACAGCCCAGACCACCAGCUAAGGUCCCAAAAUAUAUGUUAAGUGGAAAAGGAUGUGGCGUUGCCCAGACAACUAGGAUGUUGGCUUAGAAGCAGCCAUCAUUUAAAGAGUGCGUAAUAGCUCACUAGUCGAGUGACACUGCGCCGAAAAUGUACCGGGGCUAAACAUAUUACCGAAGCUGUGGAUUGUCCUUUGGACAAUGGUAGGAGAGCGUUCUAAGGGCGUUGAAGCAUGAUCGUAAGGACAUGUGGAGCGCUUAGAAGUGAGAAUGCCGGUGUGAGUAGCGAAAGACGGGUGAGAAUCCCGUCCACCGAUUGACUAAGGUUUCCAGAGGAAGGCUCGUCCGCUCUGGGUUAGUCGGGUCCUAAGCUGAGGCCGACAGGCGUAGGCGAUGGAUAACAGGUUGAUAUUCCUGUACCACCUAUAAUCGUUUUAAUCGAUGGGGGGGACGCAGUAGGAUAGGCGAAGCGUGCGAUUGGAUUGCACGUCUAAGCAGUAAGGCUGAGUAUUAGGCAAAUCCGGUACUCGUUAAGGCUGAGCUGUGAUGGGGAGAAGACAUUGUGUCUUCGAGUCGUUGAUUUCACACUGCCGAGAAAAGCCUCUAGAUAGAAAAUAGGUGCCCGUACCGCAAACCGACACAGGUAGUCAAGAUGAGAAUUCUAAGGUGAGCGAGCGAACUCUCGUUAAGGAACUCGGCAAAAUGACCCCCGUAACUUCGGGAGAAGGGGUGCUCUUUAGGGUUAACGCCCCAGAAGAGCCGCAGUGAAUAGGCCCAAGCGACUGUUUAUCAAAAACACAGGUCUCUGCUAAACCGUAAGGUGAUGUAUAGGGGCUGACGCCUGCCCGGUGCUGGAAGGUUAAGAGGAGUGGUUAGCUUCUGCGAAGCUACGAAUCGAAGCCCCAGUAAACGGCGGCCGUAACUAUAACGGUCCUAAGGUAGCGAAAUUCCUUGUCGGGUAAGUUCCGACCCGCACGAAAGGCGUAACGAUUUGGGCACUGUCUCAACGAGAGACUCGGUGAAAUCAUAGUACCUGUGAAGAUGCAGGUUACCCGCGACAGGACGGAAAGACCCCGUGGAGCUUUACUGUAGCCUGAUAUUGAAAUUCGGCACAGCUUGUACAGGAUAGGUAGGAGCCUUUGAAACGUGAGCGCUAGCUUACGUGGAGGCGCUGGUGGGAUACUACCCUAGCUGUGUUGGCUUUCUAACCCGCACCACUUAUCGUGGUGGGAGACAGUGUCAGGCGGGCAGUUUGACUGGGGCGGUCGCCUACCUAAAAGGUAACGGAGGCGCUCAAAGGUUCCCUCAGAAUGGUUGGAAAUCAUUCAUAGAGUGUAAAGGCAUAAGGGAGCUUGACUGCGAGACCUACAAGUCGAGCAGGGUCGAAAGACGGACUUAGUGAUCCGGUGGUUCCGCAUGGAAGGGCCAUCGCUCAACGGAUAAAAGCUACCCCGGGGAUAACAGGCUUAUCCUCCCCCAAGAGUUCACAUCGACGGGGAGGUUUGGCACCUCGAUGUCGGCUCAUCGCAUCCUGGGGCUGUAGUCGGUCCCAAGGGUUGGGCUGUUCGCCCAUUAAAGCGGUACGCGAGCUGGGUUCAGAACGUCGUGAGACAGUUCGGUCCCUAUCCGUCGUGGGCGUAGGAAAUUUGAGAGGAGCUGUCCUUAGUACGAGAGGACCGGGAUGGACAUACCUCUGGUGUACCAGUUGUCGUGCCAACGGCAUAGCUGGGUAGCUAUGUGUGGACGGGAUAAGUGCUGAAAGCAUCUAAGCAUGAAGCCCCCCUCAAGAUGAGAUUUCCCAACUUCGGUUAUAAGAUCCCUCAAAGAUGAUGAGGUUAAUAGGUUCGAGGUGGAAGCAUGGUGACAUGUGGAGCUGACGAAUACUAAUCGAUCGAAGACUUAAUCAA
RNAcentral lists this ribosomal RNA (2930 nucleotides) under Staphylococcus aureus. RNAcentral describes it as "23S ribosomal RNA". It matches the Rfam family "Bacterial large subunit ribosomal RNA". Lineage: Bacteria; Bacillati; Bacillota; Bacilli; Caryophanales; Staphylococcaceae. The record is from RNAcentral.